Molecule: non-coding RNA, 315 nt
Organism: Leptonychotes weddellii (Weddell seal)
Lineage: Eukaryota; Metazoa; Chordata; Mammalia; Carnivora; Phocidae
Source: RefSeq, a predicted model, not a curated record
AACGCCAGGCAUGAAUAUGGAUGAAACUCCUCACUGAGACCACAAGGGUGCCGAGAAUCUUAAGUGACUUGAACACGGUGGCGCAGAAUCUCUUUCCACCCCCUGCCUCCGGCAGGUCUCAGUGGAUGAAGACUGAUGGCACUAAUCCAGCAGUGACCUGGAUCUGUCUCCCUCUGGAAGCUCGCCUGGCCCGGGAGUGAGCCUUGCAUGUCACGUGCCUGUGAGAAAGAACUCAACUCUGGGGGACUGUGUGCCCCCAGAUAAGUAACUUAGCCUCUCUGAGCCAAAGUGUCAUCAUUUGCCUAAAUAGUGAAA